GAUAAGAGAGGCAGAGUCCAGCCCCUGGAGAAGGGGACUGGCACAGCUUCUGCGGGAUGGAGUGGGAGGGUGCCAUUCCAGAGUCCUUGUGAAGAACCUUCUAAAGCUGGAAAACAGGAGCCCCGGAGAAGUCCAGACAGACGCACCUACUCCAGGGACUAAUGUGGAGACUGCAGCCCCCAGGGGUUCAGCUCACCCCACGCAGGACGCACGAGGUAUAGAAACGACAGGUGGUCUGGACCACAUUCGCCAUUGUUCUUGGUAGAUUUCCGGGCGAGGGAAAUAUAUUCAUUCACGUAUAUUCGUUGAGCUCCUCCUGAGUGCCAGACGUUGCACCAAGUGCUAGUUAACUAAAGGAUGAAGAAAGAUGCUAAAUUGCUGUAAUAUGUACUUGGCAGAACAACAGAUCGGAGCUAUUACAAUUACAUGGUCAUUACAUUACACGACAUGGGAGAGAAUAAACGCAGCUUUGGCUAGGAAAAGAUUUCAGAAGCAGAAGAACUGUGCAGGACAACACAAGGAAGAUCGGAGAAGCAGCCGGAUGCGUAAACGAGGGAAAAUCACAGAUGCUGUGAGGCAGUUACCAACACCUCUGAUUUUACUCACCGCCAAUCACUGCACAACUGAAUUUAGGGGGGGAUAAGGAGAAGGGUGAGUCAGGCAGUGUAGAUGGCAUAGGUCACAAUGGGAACCGUAGUUUAGUUUGCAUUUCUCCCCACAAAGUCACACGAACAGGCGUAAUGUAUCUUCCCACAUCCUGCCCUCGACUGUGGAGCUGAGGCUGGUGCUUGCACCUUCCUUACGGCAAACUGCAAAUGCCUCCGAGUCUGCCCAUUUUUCUGUUAGGGCUGCCUGUUAACCUGGGAGAGGCUGGAAAACCUUGGGGCCAUCACCAGUGCUUUGGGAGCAGAUGUGGGACUCAUAUUUAUCGUGCCAAGGCAGCUGCCCUCUUGCUUCACACACUUGGCAUGUGCCAUUGAGAGCUAACCUGUGACCAUUUUAAAUAGGAGAAACGUAUAAAUUAAUAAAUGGGGAGGAGAGGCAAAAAGGGUGAAUUGUUUGUAGUUUGUCAUUUCAAAACGCGUUUAAAUGUUUUUUUAAAUGCAUUUUGGCUGCCUGGGCAGUUUAACUAAUUAAUUAAUUAACAUUAAGACUCAAGUUUAUUUUUUCAUGUACACUUAAAAACAUACUAAGCAUCGCUCCUUCCUCUGAUUCUCCAAUUAUGUGAAGAAGCCUUUUUCAUUGUUUUUCUCCUCGACUUCUGUCCUUUCCUCUGUCCUUGAGCCUGGGCAGUUUAAGUUUCUCAUACUGCUGUGUUCUAUGAUUGGAAAGAGCUUUUUGCCAGUUUAACUGAGGGCCCAAGCCCUGUCGUUACUAAUAAGGCUUAGCCAUCCUGUUGACUGUAUGUUAACUGAAAAUGUGCCAGUUAAGGGAAAUCAAUGAGGCCAAAAAUAGUCCCUCUGGUUUCCAGAGAUGUAAGGAAACUAAUUUCUAGGCAUCAGAUGCUUCAUUCAAAAAUAACUGUAUUUAACAAAAUGAUAAAUGUCUUCUGAGUCACAGAGGUACACUGGUUAGU
This is a long non-coding RNA of Camelus dromedarius (Arabian camel), 1576 nucleotides long. RefSeq lists it as uncharacterized. Lineage: Eukaryota; Metazoa; Chordata; Mammalia; Artiodactyla; Camelidae. The record is from RefSeq and is a predicted model, not a curated record. The transcript is spliced from 3 exons.